Molecule: transfer RNA, 73 nt
Filed under: Cordylochernes scorpioides
Lineage: Eukaryota; Metazoa; Arthropoda; Arachnida; Pseudoscorpiones; Chernetidae
Description: tRNA-Thr
Source: RNAcentral
GUCCAGGGAUGGAAAUCGAACCCACAAUGUUCCGCUUACCGAGCAGAUGCCAUGCCCACUAGGCUACCCUGGA